GAAGACAGACAGAGGGAGACACAGAAUCCAAAGCAGGCUCCAGGCUCCGAGCUGUCAGCACAGAGGCCAACGAGGGGCUCGAACCCAUGAACGUGAGAUCGUGACCUGAGCCCAAGUUGGAUGCUUAACUGACUGAGCCACCCAGGCGUCCCUUUUUCUACUUGUCUAAAUCUUUCCAACAUUUCACAGGAAUUUGCAUUACUUUUGGAAUCAGAAAAAUUGCUUGUAUAUAAAGAUUACACAUUGAUUCUAUUUAAAAAUUUUUUUAAUGUUUAUUUGUAAGAGAGAGAGAGACAGACUGUGAGCUGGGGAGGGGCAGACAGAGAGGCAGACACAGAAUCUGCAGCCCGUUCCAGGCUCUGAACUGUCCGCACAGAGCCCCGCACAGGGCUUCAACUCACAAACAGUGAGAUCAUACCCUGAGUUGAAGUCAGACACUGAACUGACUGAGCCACCCAGGGGCCCCAAGAUUAAACAUUGAUUCUAAAUAAGGACUGGCUAACACGAUUCAGAAGGAUGGUCUUGAAAACCUGAUUGGGAGGACUAAAUACUUCGGAGGCAGAAGUGACAAACAUUUGGGCUAACUGGAUAUGGGAGAAAGAAGGAGGCAAGAGUCAAAGAUCUGUAUUCUGCCUCACUCCCUUCUCCUUGGCAGCAGGUGGAGCAAUCCUAUUAAAAUAAAAUCCAGAUCAGUUUCCUCCUCUGCUCUAAACCCUCCAGUGGCUCCCACCUGACUCAGAAUAAAAGCCAGAAUCCUUAGCCACUUACAGGGACCCACAUACCGAACUUAGGGUUAUCCCUGCCAUGGUGGUCUUACCCUCUCCUUCCUUCUGCCCUCUGCUUCGACUGCCUCACUGUGCUGAACACGCCCCAGGACCUUUGUACCUACCAUCUCCUUGCCUGCAAUGCGUUGUGAAAUCUCUGUGUUUUGCUCCCCUCACCUAUUCCCUUCUCACCGAGGCCUUUUCCUGGGUACCCUCUCCAAAACAGUCCCCUGGCACUCCCAUCCUUUUGUUGCUUAAUAUUUAUCCCUAGCACACAUCAUAACUAUACAUUUUACUUACUUGUUUGGUUUUUGUCUCCUCCAUUAGCAUAUAAAUUGCAGGAGGGCAGGGGUUUUGUUUUGUUCACAGCUCCUGGCACGGUAUUAAUACUGAGUAAAUGCUUGUUGAAUCUAAAUAAAGAACUCAAGUGUUCCAUUUACCUCCAGGGAACAUCAGAUCUGCCAUCACUUAGUAAAAGGCAUUUGGUGGCUUGACUCUUGUCAAUCGUAAAUUCUCUUGGUUCCUUUAAAGUUAGAGUCCAUUUUUAAGGAUUCCAUUUCCACGUGAUUUGUUGGUUUGUUUUCAGGAACAUCACUCUGUUCGUGGCUUCCAGGCUGAUGUCCCCACCUCACCAGGGUAAGCUGCACUUGGGCUCGCUCACUGGUGUCCCAAGCUGUGGAGUGCCAGCCUAGGAAACAUACUACCUCCUGGCCAGAUUGGCUGGGACCCCUGGAACCCUGGCCAUUGAGAGCUACUGCAUUGGAUGGAAGGUUCUGGAGUCGGUGGAGACCCUCUCUCCUCUCCAGGCCCUAGCCUGAUGUCUUCUUUGCACCUAAUGGGUUUUUUAAUGAAAACAACAUGAGCCAAGCAGUAAAAUGGGAAGGGUUUAUCCCCACCCCCCUGCCCCCAGUCUCACCCACUAUAGAUAAACCAAGGGAACACCAAAUGACCGUUCUCUUUUUUGCUAAAGAGAAAUUUGGAAAAUGCAGGCCCUGGACAAUCUAUGGGGAGUGAAUCUACACAUGCAUUUUGCUCUAGGAGCAGAGUCCAGAGUUUAUUGAAUGAGUUGCUCUGUUCCCAUAUGGCCCACCAGGUGGCUGUAGAAUAUCACGGAUGGGCCCAGCAAGCUGGGCUGGGCUGAAGAAGGCCAGGACAGCCGGCCAGGACAGCCAGGCACUGCCCAGAGACCCCUGGCCCACCUUCAGGCAGGGCUGUUCUGUGUUUUCCUACAGGGACGCCAGACGAGGAUGUCGGCCCCUGAGACUUUCCUAGGAGAAGCAUGGCUAACACCGUGGAGUGUUUCCACGGCCAGGAGCUAGCUAGCUGCUCUGUGUAUCUCAUCUGCUUUCUCUCUUACUCUUGAGAGCCAGCCUCUGAGGGAAGCAUGGUCAUUGUCUCCAUUUCUCAGGUGCGUGGGUACCCGCGGGCCACACCGGUGACCACACGGCCCCGCAGAAAACAGGGGAAGGCACUGCACAGCCAGCCACUGGCAAGGCAGGGUUGAGGGGAAAGCACUGCUUCUGGUCCUUCGGGCAAAUUACCUACCACAUCUGAGGCCAGUUUCUUUAUCAGUGAAAUGAAGGUAACAUCUGCUUACCUGCUAGUGGGUGCUAGUGGGACCGGCUGGAAUUCAUGAAACCCCCAUGAUCAAGAAAACAAUAGAUCAAGUUUGCUCAUAUCUGGGAGCUCAUACCCCCCUCCCCCCACGGCCGCUUGUGAGCUCUCAGUGUGACAUUGCUGAGCUGAGUCAUGAAGACAGGUGCUUCUUCCCGGUAGCUGGUGUUGCCAUCGUUCAGACAGCAGGGAAAAACGGAAGAGUGUGGAUUAACGGUGAAACACGGUAGUAAUGACUGAGUUUUGAUGACUGAUUGCCUUUGUUUUUACCGAAGUUCAUUAAUUUUAGUAAUGAUUGUAUUUAACAGCAAAAUUCUGAAAAUGGGGCAGUGGGUUCUUGCGGGUGAUGCCAAGCUGGCUGCAGCAGGUGUGGCCACAGGGACCCUACACCGAGGGCAGCUCUGCCCCCCAGGAUGUCCGGAGGAGAGCCAGUUGCCGGGUGUCCUCUGAGGCCCUGUGGGGUCAGGUGGUUGUUAGGGCCCUUGAAAGCCAUGAACGACCUAUCCUUCCUCAUCCUCCACAUUCCCGCCUGGCGAGGAAGCCCAUCAGGAAGCCGUCCUGACUGGCAGGCUGGAGACCAGGCGUGAAUUUGGGGACAUGAGGGAGAAUGUCACUCUGUUGCCCCACUCUCGCACACAAGGGCACCCUACUAUCCUCCUAGUUUCCUCUUAGGACAUGGCUGGGACUGGAGUCCCAGACUGGGGACACCCAUUACUGUUUUGGGGGUGUGUGUCUUUGGGCCAAGUAUUCUCCUGAGUCUCUGAGCCUCAGUUUCCUCAGAGCACAAUGGGGAUGCUCUAGCCAAUGGCUGUGAGGAGAGGGAUGGAGAGGAGGCAGCUCACAGCUGCACCCUCCACAGAUCCCAGGGGCUGGGGUAGUUUUUCCCACACCAGAGUUCUUCAUGAGAGCUUCAGGGAGCUGGAAACAUCCUCACAUCUCCAGAUCCCAUGACAAAGAGGAAUGACUUCCGUCUUCCACAAUUCAGGGGUGGGCGCAGCCCCCAGGAGCUGUGCAUUCUCAGCCAGAAGGACUUGCAGGGGAACAAAGUUGACAGUGUUGAGCAGGCCUUCCAGAGUGUUCUGUGAUCAGCCCCAGACUGAGCCUCUUCACUCUUUUUCCGUCUCUGUUUCACUCUUUUCCGCCUGUUUGGGUUUGGUCACUCUGAGCGGUAUGCAGGAGGCAUUUACUGUGGGGAAUCAGGCCACAUGCGGUUGUGGGAGCUGGUGAAGAAGUCCAGGGAAGGCUGUGCCUCUGGGUGGGCAGGGCUGGCUGUUGUAGAGAAAAGCAGAUGUGAAUGGGGGCAAGGAGAGGCUGGAAACCACGGGCACAGAGUGGCCCUGAGUCUAUCACCUCCCACCUCUGUGACGUGGUGACCUGGUGGAGCUGGCUGCACACAUACCUAGUCCGGGGCUCGGAACCCAUCGAUGAAACAGAGGCGCCACUGGAUGGUUUCUGUCCAAGCCAACAGUGGGCACCGGCCACCCAAUGACACUGUGGGAGCCACAAAAGCACCCAGCUUAGCCAAGUUGAUGUGGUGAAAAGCCACCACUGCAAUAUGCUUCUGGAGUACCAAGUGCUUUUGGACCUUCUCAUCGUUCUUCCAGGUUCCUAUGCCUCUGCAUGGAGUGUUUGCUCCAGCCAUGGCACCAGGAAAACUCCUACAGCACCUUCAAAACCCUGCAGAGACAUCACCUCCUCUGAGAAGAAUUCCCUGACACCUGCCCUCCAGGACUAGUCCUGUACUUCACACAUGGUGACUGCCUCUGUUGUACCUGCGAGAUGCCUCAAGGGGACAAGCUGUGCCUGUUUGACAGCUCAGGGUGGUUCAUUCACGUGCCCAGGAUUGCACAGGGAGAACAGAGUUAGUGUCAUACAGAGCUACAAUUUGAACCCCUGUCGGUGACUCUUCUGAUUCUAAGCCACCGUGACUAGAAAGCUGAGAAAGAUUUGGCCCUUGCCCUUCGGAAACUAUUCAGUGGAGGGGAAAGAGAGCUGCAGUGUAGUUAGUUAGGCAGCUGGUGAAAUUACCAACAGAGACUCCAGGGGUGGCCCCAAGGCUGAAGUCACAGCACUGUGCUCCCCAGAGGGUCUCCAGGCUGCUCCAGGCCUGGCCGGUAGGAGGGUGAGGACCCCCUCCCUCCAGCAGCAGCUGUCAGGGAGCUUGGUUCCAGCUGACUCCUCACCGUGUGGCUUCGGGCAAGUCCUACUCCUCGUUUGGAAGAGACGGGCCUGGGACGGGUGGCUAAGAUUCCUCAUUCACUCACCACCAUCUGGCAUUGCAGGUGGUUGUCUGGAUUGGGCAUUUCUUAUGUUAUUCCACCAGAGGGCGCCAAAUCCCAGCUCCUGCCAAGUUGGUUCUCUCAAAAAGGGGUGGUUUUGGGAUGUGAGCUCAGAGGAGGUGAUGAGUGAGAGCUGUGUGUGUGGGUUUGUGUGGAAACAAUUAGGGGUGCGUGUGUGCAUGUGUUUGCAUGCAGCACCAGAGUUUUUUUCCAACUGUCUACAUCUAUUACCAUCACCCCUACCCUGCCGAGUUCAUCUCCAGCUUUUUGCUGCCUCCCUUGCUCAGCUCUAGCCACACAGGCCCGCUAGCGCUGCCUCCAACACUCCCUGCAAGAUCUGGCCUCAGGGCCUUUGUGUGUGCUGUCCCUUCAGCCUGGAACACUGACCGCCUAGACAUCUCUAGGAACCUCCCACAUUCCCUCUCAGUGAGGCCUUUCCUAGCCCUCCCAUAAAAAAAGUACCUCCGAACCCAUUCCAUGCUUUACUCUUCUUUAGAAAAACUACACAACACAAUCUACACAACAAAAUGUCACCUAUUUAACCAUUUUUCCAGUUUUGCAGUAUGAAGUCCCUUCUCAUGGUGGUGCAACCAUGUCCGCCAUCCAUCUCCAGACUUUUUUCCAUCUUCCCAAACUGAAACCCUACGUCCACUGAACAAUAACCCCCUACUCUGCCCUCCCCCACCCCCUGGCAAUGGCUGUUCUUUUUGUCUCUGUGAAUCUGCUCCGGCUGUCUCGUAAAAGCCAUAGACUAUUUGUCAUUUUGGGACUGGCUUAUGUCACUCAACAUAAGGUCUUCAAGCGUCAUCCAUGUUGUAGCAUGUGCCAGAAUUUGCUUUUUUAAGGCUGUAUGAUAUUCCAUUAUAUGUAUAUUUAUAUAUUGAUUAUUCAUUUGUUGGUAGAUGCGUGGGUUGCCCCACUCUUGUGAAGAAUGAUGGUAUGCAUGUGCUCUUUUCCAUGCUUUCUGUUUCUGCACAGCACUGAACCUCAUCCAGGCACCCUCCCUUUGCCCCCAACUAGACAUACAAAUGAUGGCAUACAAAAGACACAGGCCAGCUAACCUAGCAUUUUUAAUCUAACAUUGCUUUUUAAAUGUCUAAAAAUGCUCGGGACCUCGAAAUGCUCUUUGGACCAGCUUUAUCAUUUCACUCGUGUCCUCAUCAACGAGUUGAUAAAUCUUUGACAUGUUCAUCCUGUAUUUGUAGGACAGUCCUAUUUUUAACUUUUAAGAAGUUACACCCUGACGUUCCAGAGGUGUCUUUUUCUUUUUUAACCAGGAAUUUAAACAUGCCUUUGUGGGAUGAAAUCGGAUACAUCAGUUCAUGAUGCUCUGCCAGCCAAGCUGGGGCUUCCGGUGUCCUGGGGCCACGUGAACGGAGCAGAGACACCGCCAGCUCCUAUGUUCUCCAGGACCUUCUUGAGCUGUGGCCGCUGCUCCAAAGUCCCAGGCAGCUGAUGCGGACCCGUGUCUGCGGCGCCCACGAAAGACGGUGCUUUCAUGAGAGUGGCUUGCCCUUUCUGAGCCCUUCUGUGAGCCGUGGGAUUCCAAAUGCUCUGAAUGCAUUAGCUGACGCUCACACGGUCCCCAUGAGAUAGACGCCCUUCGGCAGAUGAGGAAGCCAGCCUGGAGGAUCACAGUGCAAGGGGAAGUUCUAGAGCAAAGACGAGAAGGAGGGAUCUGUGUGUGGCAGGAGAGAACAAUAGUACAAGUUCAGACUCUAGGGGCUGUGCUGAAUAUGUACAAGAAAUUUCCUUCCCACGUGGUCCUCACGCCCUGCUGUGAUGGAGGGGGGCAAAGAAUCGGGUCGUGUGCUCCAGAGGGCCCAAGCCAGGGAAGGCGCAGACAGACACGAAGCUCAAACCAGCAAGCGGCCUUGGAAGAGGGAGAGUAAACAGGUCUAAAAGGAGGUGGCCCUUGGUUGUAAACAUUGGUAACAGCCACACCACUGGGUCGAGGGACCCAAGAAGGGCGUGUGGAUGGGUUUCCUCAGCGUGCAGAUGGGGACGUUGGGUGCGAAUGGGGGGGCCUCAGGGGCGGCAGAAGUGAUGGGGGAGGUAGUCGUUUAGUCUGGAACUCUCUGAGGCCGCUGUUCCAUGGUGGGCUCCAGGCCCCGAGGAGCCUGCUCUGGGGAGGGCGUGCACUCCAGGCCUUGGUCUCUGGGGGUCUCCUCCUCUUGUGAACCCAAGGCUGACGGUGGCUCCCUGAAAUGCUCCCGUGUGAGAAGGCAGAGACAGGAUGCGUUCUGGUGCAUCCUGGCUGGACCAGGACGGGUAGACGAAGCUGAGAAUCUGUCCCCGAACCUGAGUCACCAGCAUGUCCCAGCCAAGCAGCAAGAGUGGCUUUUUUGCCUGGGCCCUGUUGGGGAAGGCUGCUCUGUACAUAGUGUUCCCCGUGACCGGGGUGGGGGUGGGGGUAUUCAGAUAUUUACAUAUAUAACUAUAUAUACUGGGAUGCCAGAAGAGACCACCACGUCCUAUGGAUUUCCAAACACGGAGUUACUAACGCUUAACUCCCUCCAUCUGACGCGAGCAGGGCCAAGAAUACACUCCAGGUGAACCUGUACCGAGCUCCGGGAACGAGAGUAUCUGGGUAUGCAGAGCCACUUUCAGUAACAGAAGAGGGAAGAGCGACACAAGACUCUUGAGUCCUUGACUAUAUUGUCAGACACACUACAGUUUGGUAAACUGAGAACUUGGGGCCAUGGUUCUGGCUGAUUCGGGCUGCGUGGGGCUGAGCCUCCUCUGAAGUCCAGGGGUCCUGGACUGUCCAGGCUGGCUCCCCUGCAGAGGGGGCAGCCCCUACUUUAUUAAGGUUUAUACUACAAACUGAGGGUCGACCACUGAUGCCUUUGGAACAUUCGGCUUUCCUGACUCACAGAAACCCUGAGGUACAGAAAUCCCAGGGGAACACACUGCACAGUCAUCUGGGGCUAGUCUCUUGUUCUGAUUCUUUUUUUAUGUGUCUCCCUCCCCGAAAUCCCUCCAACAAAUAAAUACAUGAGCCAGUCCACAUAUGCUCACCGAAUUCCUGUUUCCACAGAUACAACAUAAAUAUCCCAUGUGCAGAGAGCAGGGACUCUUAAUAUUACAAAAUAUAUUAGUUUCUCUUCCCCUGUCUCUGCUGAGGUCAUGAACGAAAUGGAACAAAAAAAAGCAAACCAACCCACACCCACCUACGUGAAAACAAAAUGCUCUUUGGACCAAGAGUAAUUGAAAACUGGCUCAGGAUAAUAUCACUACAACAUCUGCAUGAACUGAGACAGAAUCCACAACAUGAGGCACCUGGUGAGAACACGCAGCAUCUCACCAAGUGCAAGCGCUCUCAGACCCACCAGGCAGCAAGCUGAUGUUUCUAGAACACAUCUGGGGAUGCUUAGGCAUCGUGUGAGGUCAUCCUUGUCUCCUUAGUUUUGUUGUUUACUACUGUUCUGGCCUCUCGAAUCCCAUCCUGCUAUGUGGCCCUGAGCAGAGAGGAAAGCUGGUCUUACCUUGGGCCAGGAAGCCUAACACGACUGCAUCUGCGUUCUCUUCCUCCACGGGAGCAGUCCGUCCUUCCGAGACCCCCAGGAUCUUUGGAAGAAAGUGUGGAGCCCUACUUACGAUUCCAUUCUGGACGCUGAAACCCAGCUGGUAGCGGAGGUCCGGUCUCCUGAUCAACACGGUCGUCACUGGAGGACACCUCACAAUGUUCAGCUUGACCCGGGGCUGAUUCUUCAAACCCUGAAAUGUGAAUGGAGCACAGUGGAGAUGGUGACUGGUAAGGCGGGCAGAAGAGAUCCAAGCAGACAGCACCAAAGGCAAAUGGAGUCCUAAGGAGUCCCAAGGGAUCUUCCAUUAUUUCUGGGACUCAUGAAGCAGACCCACAUACAGGCCGACCGUGCCCAAGCAGGGACAAUCCACUGCUAGCCUGUACCAACUCAGGGCCCAAAGAGCUCACUGACCCCUCACACCUGUGGCCAGUGUGCUCUGUGAGCGCACAGGGCUUGUGGGAGACCUGGGGAGGCUGCUUAAGAAUCAGCCACUCUGUGUUGGCACCCCGUGUGGGCACCCUACCCUCACGGUCCGUCAAAACCCGUACAGCCGAUGAAACCAGCCCGUCACUGAGCGUGGGCUCCUGCUGCCUACAGGAGCUGUCUCCUUCAGUCUCCUUGACAAACUGCAGCUCUAUGUCCAUUCUACAGAAGACACCGAGGCUCAGAGAUUCUAAGCAACUCACCCCGCUUCACCCGCAGCGGGAUCCAACCGGACAUCUGUUCUGUUUUCAAAACCAAGCAUUUCGCCUACACCAUGAUCCCCCCUAAAGACAACGGGACAGCGUGUAUCAUUCAUGAGUAAGGCAUGCUCGACCAAGCAGCCAGGGAGAGCAAUAAAAGAAUGAAUUCGUGCCACCAAAGCUUCUAUUCUGGCCUUGCAUGGGGCCCUGUCGUCAGCUUACUUUCCUACCCAGCUCGAGUCCAGGGCUCCUAACAUCUGACUUCCCCACUGCCUUUGAUGGAUUGCAGUUGGUCCUUUCAACGUGUGAGUUUUGACGGUGCUCAAUUUAACUUCCCACCUCCAGCAUCUCUGCCCGUCUCCUGGGCAUUCUGAAUCGCUGUUUUCUGCCGGAUCGGAGCCUCCCAGGGGCUGCAAUUUGGGUAAUGCUCGGUGCUCACACGCAGGCAGCCCUCGCCAGCCACUCUCUGUGGUUUCUGGAAGAUCUCUGGGAAGCUUCUCUGGUUCACAAAGUGAUGAUGUCCAAGUGCAGCAGCAGCGGACGAGCUGAGAGCCGUUCUCCCCGGGCAAAGUCUGCCAGGGACUGGCCUUCCGCACGACACAGGCCUGCUGUCCACGGGCACAGGGCUCCACAGGGUUCCGAUGCAUCAAGCUGUGUUUCCGCCUCUGCGGCCGGGCGUCUCCGACACUCCGUCCCUCCCUUCCUCCACCUCUGUCUCCACAUCACCCAGAUAAGUGGUGGGUGACACCCGGAGGUCCCCUCCAGCUCUAGUUCUGAGUUCACCCUUUCCACGCAUUCCUUCCCUCAGCGUAUUUGCCAACAACACCACGUCUCGACCAUUAUGCUUAAAAACACCCGUUUCUGCUCAGAUCAUGAUCUCACAGUUGGUGAGAUCGAGCCCCGCCUCGGGCUCUACGCUGACAGUGUGGAUCCUGUUGGGAUUCUCUCUCUCUCCUGCUCUCUACCCCUCUCCCACUCACGUUCUUUCUCUCUCAAAAUAAAUAAACAUUAAAAAAUAUUAAUAAAAAACCAAUUUCCAGAAUUAAAAAUGGGCAUCUUUCAGGAAGGUGGUGCUCAGAUAUUAAUGCGCAUACAGUUGACCUUUGAACAAUGCAGGGUCAGAGGCGCUGACUCCCCGCCCCCCCGCCCCCCCCAACCAAACCGUGCGGUUGAAAAUUCACAUAUAACUUUUGAGUCCCCUGAAACUUAACUACUAACAGCCUACGGUGACCAGAAGGCUUACCAAUAACAUUAACAACACAUAUCUUGUAGAUGGAUUAUACACUGUGUUAUUAUAAUAAAGUAGGCUAGAGAGAAAGCAAAGGUUGUUAGGAAAAUCACAAGUUAGAAAAUACAUUUCCAGGACUGUGCUGUAUUUAUUGAAAAACACCUGUGAUAAAUGGGCCCGUGUAAUUCAAGCCCGUGUUGCUCAAGUGCGUGUCUCUCUCCCUCCGGUGCCUCGUCUUUCUCAUCCACUUGACUAGUCAAUAUUUACUGAUCACUCCCCGAGUGCCAAGGCUGGUGUUAGGCAGCCGGAAGGGCUACAGGCACAGGCAGGGCAACCAGAGGGGCUGGCCCCCUUCCCGCCCUCCACAAUCACACAGCAGGAGACCAGGAAUUUGUUGGAACCAGAGGGAAGUAUGCCCUCAAAACGAGCACACAGAAUUCCAGCUUCAGACAGUGCCACCAGCUUUGAGUGCUUACACCUGUGCACCUCUGGGGUGACGCAGGUGUGCAUGUGAUGCUCAGAGAGCACACCCUGAAAAGCCAGAGAAGGACUCUAUUUUCUCAAUUACCCCAAAAAAGCUCACAUCGCUCCGGUGGGUUCCUUUUUCAUGUGCGUGAAUUGACUGAAGAGGCCUGAUUUGUCCUUCAGUGAACGAAGUUCUAGACUGAGGAAGUGUGCUGCCAGAUGAGGCUUAAAGAGGCGGCAAUUUGGAGUAGCCGGAGAACGCCACUGCUCGCCGUUCCCCAUCAGUGCUCCAAGUGGGGUCCCAUUAACUUGGAUUUCUGAGCUGCCAUUUGAGAGGAAAUGCCAAAUAAACAAGCGGUCAUUGUGUCCCCAUGACAGCAGUGGAAUGCUGUAGCAAAUUAAGAAAUACUGUGGGAGAGGAAGGGAGAGGGGAGAGGGGAAGGGAGGAGACAGAAGCCAGAAUCGUCUCUAUAGUAACAGGAAAGCAGGACCAUGAUCCUGUGGAAGGGAGAGGAAAGCGGUGCUCUAGUUUAAAAAAGAAAAAAUAAUCAGGAGGGCAGGACCACAGAGGCAAGGAACUGCCUAAGGAACUGGCAGGAACAAGGCAAGGAACUGACUGCUAACAAGCUUUGCCUACCAACACUUACGCCUUAGGAAUUAGGACAGGCGACACAGGUGCUAGGGAAGAAAGCAAUGAAAAGGAUUCAUUACCUCUAACUCUUUUCUAGAAAUGUUUCUAUUUUCCUAUAACUGGGGGUGGCGGUGGGGGAAGUCAACAUGCGUUAAAGUGGAAAGACACAGAAUACAUGGUGUAGACCCUUGUUUCUCAAAGGGCUUUGGGAGACUGGUGACGUCAUCACCUGCCAGCUUGCUGAGGGAGAAUCCCACCGCAGACAUGUGCAAUCUGCGUUUCAACAACAGCCCCAGGACUUUCAAUUCAAAGUUUUCUAAGCCGUGAACUAUCCAUCUAUGGAUCCAUCGGGAUGAGAGCUGCUAACUUCGUUGCAAGGUGCACUGGCACAACAGUGAAAUGAGCUACCGACCAGAAGCCCUGAAGAAGCCCAGAAUAUUCCCCUGCGCUGGCCCCACAGGUGGGGUGGGCCAGUGUGAUCAUGUGCUUAGGUGGAGGCA
Long non-coding RNA from Acinonyx jubatus (cheetah), 11694 nucleotides. RefSeq lists it as uncharacterized. The transcript is spliced from 6 exons. The record is from RefSeq and is a predicted model, not a curated record. NCBI's taxonomy places the organism in Eukaryota, Metazoa, Chordata, Mammalia, Carnivora, Felidae.